AUAUAUCUCCUGGGAGACCUAACUACCCCCUAGUUGAGAACCACUGCUCUAAACCUAAACAACUACUCUUUCUACUGUGAGGGCAAGCAGUUUAAAGCUGUACAAUAAGUUACCUGAAGUGGGUUUACAGAGUUGUGAAACUAUAUGAUUUAUUUUUCAAAGACUGCUGAUCUACUCACGUGGAUCUGUAUUUUCUACCCUGUAGAUCGAAGAUUUAUCCCAGCAAGCACAACUAGCAGCUGCUGAGAAAUUCAAAGUUCAAGGUGAAGCUGUCUCAAACAUUCAAGAAAACACACAGACUCCAACUGUACAAGAGGAGAGUGAAGAGGAAGAGGUCGAUGAAACAGGUGUAGAAGUUAAGGACAUAGAAUUGGUCAUGUCACAAGCAAAUGUGUCGAGAGCAAAGGCAGUCCGAGCCCUGAAGAACAACAGUAAUGAUAUUGUAAAUGCGAUUAUGGUAAGUGUUCAAGCCUUUGUUCCUUGACUCCCUCUGCCCUGACCAGUUAUGAGUGACUUAUUUUCUCUUGCUAAAUAUCAGCCAAUUAGGGAACCUCAUUCCAGAGCCUCUUCUGAGUUGCCGUAUAGGUUUUAGUGGCCU
This 598-nucleotide small RNA is filed under the name Pongo abelii (Sumatran orangutan). Its description in RNAcentral is "retained intron". The record is from RNAcentral. Lineage: Eukaryota; Metazoa; Chordata; Mammalia; Primates; Hominidae.